GAAGGAGAGACCUGAGUACUCGCAGGAGGAGUGCUCACCUUCGGGCGAGACAGGGAGAUGAGUUGCCGGGGGAUCAGGACCGGCUGCUACCCCGACAAAGAUAAAAGGCUGUCAGAUCCCGCCCCAGGUUGCGGGAGCAACAUUGCUGUAUGCUAGAUCCUGUACCUGUCCUUGCCUGGUUUCCUGCCUCGUAUCCUGCCUUGGCCCUGUCUGACUGACUCCCAGCAGAUCCUUCAGAUUCUGGUCCAGUCCUGGACUGCGUUUCACGGGUUACCCCCAGGACCAGCACAGCAACGAAUAGGGAGAAGGAGAUUAUGCAGGCAGGACUUUGUUUAAUUAGGGCUACAGUGGUACCUUGGUUUUCAAAUGUAAUCCAUUCCGGAAGUCCGUUCGAAUUCCAAAAUGUUUGAAAACCAAAAACUGAAAGCGGAAGCCUCAAAAUUGAAGCCUCAAUAUGGAAAACUCAAAACAGAAGCUGCGUUUCCUUUUCAAUUUCCAGGGCCUGUUCGAAAACCAAGGCGUUUACUUCCUGGUUUUUGGUGUUCGAGUUCCGAAACGUUCAACUAAAGAGGCUCUCGAAAACCGAGGUACUACUGUACUUUAAAAUGAAGCCAUUUUAAAGACAGGAUCUUAAAAACCUUAAGAAACAAGUUCUCAGCAGGGAAUAGAGGGAUCUGUCUGUUUUUGUUCUCUUCUGUUCCCCACAUGUCCUUGUCAUCGAUUCAUUCUCUCCCAUUUCCUUUCUUUCCCCUUUUAUUUUUCUAACCUUUUGGCAAUUAUUAACUAUAAACAACAAAACUCUGCCCCUCCCCCCAAAAAAACCCUUCAAAUCAUAAUAUUUUGCAUUCUGCCCCAUGUUUCAGAGAUGGAGGGUGGGUUGGUAUACCACCCACUAGAGGUCAGGCACAAUCCAAACCAUCAAUAGUUUUGAAUUCACAUAUAUGCUUCAUGCAGCAUGAAUUAGGCAAGUUCACAUUAGCACGUGGACCAAAGAGAAUUCUUGCUCCAUUCCUGUUUGUUGACAACUUGAAAUAUAUAUAUAUAUAUAUAUAUACACACACACACACACACACACACACACACACACACACACACAUAGGCUUUUUAAUACUUGCUGACCAGCUUCUAUAAUGCAUGCAGAUGGAACAAGGAGGGAUUUAUUCAUUCACUUUGCCAUUUGGAAGACAAAAAGCUCCCUCAUGGCACAGGGAAAAUGGAGGAAAACAUGCUUGGCAGAGAUGUGGAGUUUUUCAAGGCUAUUUCUGGGAAGUGUUUGCAACUCUCUGCUUAGAACUGACUGCUGCAGAACACUGACUGCUGUCUGCCGAAAAUGCAUCUUUUGGCCACGUACAAUUGGGAAGGGUGUAGAAUGAAGGACUGAGGCGGUAGUGAAAAUUUGGCUCAAAUGCACUAUCGGAGGAAGUUCAGGGUUUGUUUCUUUUAAAACUUCCCUCCCAGGCUGACUGAUGAUGUUUUCGGGUGCGUUCAAACGUGAGGAAUACUGCAUUAGUUUUCCUGAUCAAACCUUGAUGCUAGAUUACUGUAAUGCACUAUUUGUGGGGCUGCCCUUGGGUCUAGUUUGCAAAGUCCAACGGGCACAGAAUUCUGCAGCCAGACUGCUUCAGGUUGAGAAUGUGGGACCCCUUUGUUAAAACAGCUGAACUGGCUGCCCAUUUACUAUUGAGCCAGGCUCAAGGUAUUAAUUGUAUUAAUUAACAAACCAAAUAACUUAGGUCCAGGGUGCCUCAGGGACCACCUGAACGCUUACACCUCAGCUCAAGUGUCUGAGAUCAUCUGCAGGAGUGUCUUUGGUCAUUCCCCAGGUUGGGGAGGCUUGCUAGACAACAAUGAGAAAUGGCGCCUUUAGCGUCAUUGGCCCAGUCCUGUGGAACUCUCUGCCACUAGAGAUUCAACGGGUGCCUUCUGUACCAACUUUUAAAUGCCUGCUGAAAACUUUUCCAUUCUGACAGCCCUAUGAAUGCAUCCCCCAACAUGGCUUAUUGAUGUUUACUUUAAAAUAUCUUUUUGCAGAACUGUCAAAACUGACAUACAAGCUAUGGGACAAGGAUAACUGUGACUUUAACGAUGAAUGGGAACCCCUUUACAAAGUAUUUGAAGACGCAACAAAGCGAACUGGACUCCUUGGCUGGUUUUGAAUAAACAUUCACAAACUUUUUAUUGAUAAUUAUCAGCUAAAUAGUUUGAGGAUCUAUACAACUGUGUAACAUGCAGAAAACAGCAUUUUUAGAGAAAUCAAAGACUGGAACUGAGGG
RNAcentral lists this long non-coding RNA (2273 nucleotides) under Podarcis lilfordi (Lilford's wall lizard). Lineage: Eukaryota; Metazoa; Chordata; Lepidosauria; Squamata; Lacertidae. The record is from RNAcentral.